This 435-nucleotide ribosomal RNA is filed under the name uncultured bacterium. Its description in RNAcentral is "partial 16S ribosomal RNA". It matches the Rfam family "Bacterial small subunit ribosomal RNA", at positions 28 to 507 of the family's 1533-position model. The record is from RNAcentral.
GAUGAACGCUGGCGGUAUGCUUAACACAUGCAAGUCGAACGGACUCUUCGGAGUUAGUGGCGGACGGGUGAGUAACGCGUGAGAAUCUGGCUUUGGGUUCGGGACACCCACUUUAAACGGUGGCUAAUACCGGAUGUGCCGAGAGGUAAUAGAGAAAUGGCCUGAAGAUGAGCUCGGGUCUGAUUAGCUAGUUGGUGAGGUAAAGGCUCACCUAUGCAGCGAUCAGUAGCUGGUCUGAGAGGAUGACCAGACACAGUGAGUCUGAGACACGGCAGAGACUCCUGGGGGGGGGAGGAGUGGAGAAUUGUACAAAAGGGGGAAGCGUGUGGCAGAGAAGUACCGCGUGGGAGAAGGAGGCUCUUGGGGUGAAAAGCUCUUUCCUUAGAGAAGGAGAGAGUGACGGUAACUAAGGAAGAAGCAUCGGCUAACUACGUG